This 497-nucleotide ribosomal RNA is filed under the name uncultured bacterium. Its description in RNAcentral is "partial 16S ribosomal RNA". It matches the Rfam family "Bacterial small subunit ribosomal RNA", at positions 28 to 507 of the family's 1533-position model. The record is from RNAcentral.
GAUGAACGCUGGCGGCGUGCCUAAUACAUGCAAGUCGAGCGAACGGACGAGAAGCUUGCUUUUCUGAUGUUAGCGGCGGACGGGUGAGUAACACGUGGAUAACCUACCUAUAAGACUGGGAUAACUUCGGGAAACCGGAGCUAAUACCGGAUAAUAUUUUGAACCGCAUGGUUCAAAAGUGAAAGACGGUCUUGCUGUCACUUAUAGAUGGAUCCGCGCUGCAUUAGCUAGUUGGUAAGGUAACGGCUUACCAAGGCAACGAUGCAUAGCCGACCUGAGAGGGUGAUCGUCCACACUGGAACUGAGACACGGUCCUGACGCCUAAGGGAGGCAGCAGUAGGGAAUCUUCCGCAAUGGGCGAAAGCCUGACGGAGCAACGCCGCGUGAGUGAUGAAGGUCUUCGGAUCGUAAAACUCUGUUAUUAGGGAAGAACAUAUGUGUAAGUAACUGUGCACAUCGUGACGGUACCUAAUCAGAAAGCCACGGCUAACUACGUG